GACGAACGCUGGCGGUGUGCUUAACACAUGCAAGUCGAACGGAAAGGCCCUGCUUUUGUGGGGUGCUCGAGUGGCGAACGGGUGAGUAACACGUGAGUAACCUGCCCUUGACUUUGGGAUAACUUCAGGAAACUGGGGCUAAUACCGGAUAGGAGCUCCUGCUGCAUGGUGGGGGUUGGAAAUUUUCGGCGGUUGGGGAUGGACUCGCGGCUUAUCAGCUUGUUGGUGGGGUAGUGGCUUACCAAGGCUUUGACGGGUAGCCGGCCUGAGAGGGUUACCGGACACAUUGGGACUGAGAUACGGCCCAGACGCCAACGGGAGGCAGCAGUGGGGAAUAUUGCACAAUGGGCGGAAGCAUGAUGCAGCAACGCCGCGUGCGGGAUGACGGCCUUCGGGUUGUAAACCGAUUUCGCCUGUGACGAAGCGUGAGUGACGGUAAUGGGUAAAGAAGCACCGGCUAACUACGUG
This 468-nucleotide ribosomal RNA is filed under the name uncultured bacterium. RNAcentral's name for it is "partial 16S ribosomal RNA". It matches the Rfam family "Bacterial small subunit ribosomal RNA", at positions 28 to 507 of the family's 1533-position model. The record is from RNAcentral.